GAAGGCAUUUAUCGAAGCCAGGAAUUUGUGUAUUUACAUUACUGGUCAAACUAAUGCCAAGAGGAACAUCUGCUGACGGUCGCAGCCUGUAGAUUUUACAGUUGUUGCAUUACCAACAGUAGAGACAUAA
Molecule: small nucleolar RNA, 130 nt
Organism: Mercenaria mercenaria
Lineage: Eukaryota; Metazoa; Mollusca; Bivalvia; Venerida; Veneridae
Source: RefSeq, a predicted model, not a curated record